Echinops telfairi (small Madagascar hedgehog) is the source of this 130-nucleotide small nucleolar RNA. Its record names the gene SNORA70. It matches the Rfam family "Small nucleolar RNA SNORA70". From Rfam's summary of the family: snoRNA U70 seems to be exclusive to mammals and is a member of the H/ACA class of snoRNA which contain H (ANANNA) and ACA box motifs. H/ACA box snoRNAs are involved in the conversion of uridines to pseudouridines (5-ribosyluracil) a constituent of structural RNAs (transfer, ribosomal, small nuclear, and small nucleolar). NCBI's taxonomy places the organism in Eukaryota, Metazoa, Chordata, Mammalia, Afrosoricida, Tenrecidae. The record is from Ensembl.
GAGCAACAAAAGACCAAAUGGACCUCGUUGUGGGGACCGGUGUGCAAUGGCUACAAACAGCAAUCCUCCUCGGUAGUGUCUGCAGCCUGUUGAUGUGUAUAAGCUGCCCUAGGGGACCUUGGAGACAACC